This 323-nucleotide ribosomal RNA is filed under the name Sandona sp. RNAcentral describes it as "SSU rRNA". It matches the Rfam family "Eukaryotic small subunit ribosomal RNA", at positions 633 to 955 of the family's 1831-position model. Lineage: Eukaryota; Cercozoa; Glissomonadida; Sandonidae. The record is from RNAcentral.
GAUUUCUGAUCUGUCAACAUUUAGCCGGCCACGGUUUCGUGUGUUAGUGCUUGAUGUUCUGGCCAUCCUUCCAAUCGCUAUUGGUUACUCUUCAUUGAGUGGUCAGUAGUAUUGGAUCUUUUACUUUGAAAAAAUUAGAGUGUUUCAAGCAGGCUUUAUGCUAUGAAUACAUUAGCAUGGAAUAAUAAUUUAGGACUUCGGUUCUAUUUUGUUGGUUUCUAGGACUGAAGUAAUGAUUGAUAGGGAUAGUUGGGGGUGCUAGUAUUCAGCGGCCAGAGGUGAAAUUCUCGGAUUCGCUGAAGACUAACUUAUGCGAAAGCAUU